UCCUACGGGACGCAGCAGUGGGGAAUAUUGCACAAUGGGGGAAACCCUGAUGCAGCAACGCCGCGUGAGUGAAGAAGUAUUUCGGUAUGUAAAGCUCUAUCAGCAGGGAAGAAGAUGACGGUACCUGAGUAAGAAGCCCCGGCUAACUACGUGCCAGCAGCCGCGGUAAUACGUAGGGGGCAAGCGUUAUCCGGAUUUACUGGGUGUAAAGGGAGCGUAGACGGUGAGACAAGUCUGAAGUGAAAGCCCGGGGCUCAACCCCGGGACUGCUUUGGAAACUGCCUGACUGGAGUGCUGGAGAGGCA
Molecule: ribosomal RNA, 305 nt
Filed under: uncultured bacterium
Lineage: Bacteria
Description: bacterial SSU rRNA
Rfam family: Bacterial small subunit ribosomal RNA
Source: RNAcentral